GAUCCUGGCUCAGAAUCAACGCUGGCGGCGUGCCUAACACAUGCAAGUCGUACGCGAAAGGGGAGCAAUCCCUGAGUAGAGUGGCAAACGGGUGAGUAACACGUGGGUGACCUGCCUCAGAGUGGGGGAUAACGUCCCGAAAGGGACGCUAAUACCGCAUAACAUCCUGCCUUUGGAAAGGCGGAGAUCAAAGCCGGGGAUCGCAAGACCUGGCGCUUGGAGAGGGGCCCGCGUCUGAUUAGCUAGUUGGUAGGGUAAUGGCCUACCAAGGCGACGAUCAGUAUCCGGCCUGAGAGGGCGGACGGACACACUGGGACUGAGACACGGCCCAGACUCCUACGGGAGGCAGCAGUGGGGAAUUGUUCGCAAUGGGCGCAAGCCUGACGACGCAACGCCGCGUGGAGGAUGAAGAUCUUCGGGUCGUAAACUCCUGUCGAGCGGGAAGAACACUUUCCGGGCGAAUAUCCUGGAAGGCUGACGGUACCGCUAAAGGAAGCCCCGGCUAACUCCGUGCCAGCAGCCGCGGUAAUACGGGGGGGGCAAGCGUUGUUCGGAAUUACUGGGCGUAAAGGGCUCGUAGGCGGCCAACUAAGUCAGACGUGAAAUCCCCAGGCUCAACCUGGGAACUGCGUCUGAUACUGGAUGGCUUGAAUCCGGGAGAGGGAUGCAGAAUUCCAGGUGUAGCGGUGA
RNAcentral lists this ribosomal RNA (690 nucleotides) under uncultured Acidobacteriota bacterium. RNAcentral describes it as "bacterial SSU rRNA". It matches the Rfam family "Bacterial small subunit ribosomal RNA", at positions 15 to 684 of the family's 1533-position model. Lineage: Bacteria; Pseudomonadati; Acidobacteriota. The record is from RNAcentral.